UGAGAAGUGUGUAACGGCCAGAGGUUGGA
Molecule: non-coding RNA, 29 nt
Filed under: Homo sapiens (human)
Lineage: Eukaryota; Metazoa; Chordata; Mammalia; Primates; Hominidae
Source: RNAcentral